UCGAUUCACUGUCAAAGCA
This 19-nucleotide small nuclear RNA is filed under the name Phaeodactylum tricornutum CCAP 1055/1. RNAcentral describes it as "snRNA PTsRNA00037a". Lineage: Eukaryota; Bacillariophyta; Bacillariophyceae; Surirellales; Neidiaceae. The record is from RNAcentral.